UGGGGAAUAUUGCACAAUGGGCGCAAGCCUGAUGCAGCCAUGCCGCGUGUGUGAAGAAGGCCUUCGGGUUGUAAAGCACUUUCAGCGAGGAGGAAGGUGGUGAGCUUAAUACGCUCAUCAAUUGACGUUACUCGCAGAAGAAGCACCGGCUAACUCCGUGCCAGCAGCCGCGGUAAUACGGAGGGUGCAAGCGUUAAUCGGAAUUACUGGGCGUAAAGCGCACGCAGGCGGUUUGUUAAGUCGGAUGUGAAAUCCCCGGGCUCAACCUGGGAACUGCAUUUGAAACUGGCAAGCUAGAGUCUCGUAGAGGGGGUAGAAUUCCAGGUGUAGCGGUGAAAUGCGUAGAGAUCUGGAGGAAUACCGGUGGCGAAGGCGGCCCCCUGGACGAAGACUGACGCUCAGGUGCGAAAGCGUGGGGCAGCAAACAGGAUUAGAUACCCUGGUAGUCCACGCUGUAAACGAUGUCGAUUUUGGAGGUUGUGCCCUUGAGGCGUGGCUUCCGGAGCUAACGCGUUAAA
This 518-nucleotide ribosomal RNA is filed under the name uncultured bacterium. RNAcentral describes it as "partial 16S ribosomal RNA". It matches the Rfam family "Bacterial small subunit ribosomal RNA", at positions 355 to 864 of the family's 1533-position model. The record is from RNAcentral.